Molecule: transfer RNA, 89 nt
Filed under: Blumeria hordei DH14
Lineage: Eukaryota; Fungi; Ascomycota; Leotiomycetes; Helotiales; Erysiphaceae
Description: tRNA-Pro for anticodon AGG
Source: RNAcentral
GGUCUUAUGGUCUAGUGGUAUGAUUCUCGCUUAGGGUUCACCCGAAGCUAUUCUGCGAGAGGUCCCGCGUUCGAGUCGCGGUAAGACCC